This 510-nucleotide ribosomal RNA is filed under the name uncultured bacterium. Its description in RNAcentral is "partial 16S ribosomal RNA". It matches the Rfam family "Bacterial small subunit ribosomal RNA", at positions 28 to 507 of the family's 1533-position model. The record is from RNAcentral.
GACGAACGCUGGCGGCGUGCUUAACACAUGCAAGUCGAACGAAGAGCGACGGAAGCUUGCUUCUAUCAAUCUUAGUGGCGAACGGGUGAGUAACGCGUAAUCAACCUGCCCUUCAGAGGGGGACAACAGUUGGAAACGACUGCCAAUACCGCAUACGAUCUAACCUCGGCAUCGAGGAUAGAUGAAAGGUGGCCUCUACAUGUAAGCUAUCACUGAAGGAGGGGAUUGCGUCUGAUUAGCUAGUUGGAGGGGUAACGGCCCACCAAGGCGAUGAUCAGUAGCCGGUCUGAGAGGAUGAACGGCCACAUUGGGACUGAGACACGGCCCAGACUCCUACGGGAGGCAGCAGGGGGGAAUCUUCCGCAAUGGACGAAAGUCUGACGGAGCAACGCCGCGUGAGUGAUGACGGCCUUCGGGUUGGAAAGCUCUGUUAAUCGGGACGAAAGGCCUUCUUGCGAAUAGUGAGAAGGAUUGACGGUACCGGAAUAGAAAGCCACGGCUAACUACGUG